AAUUCCUUAGUUACAAGUGUAAUGAGUAAUGGAGUAAAACAUUUUCAUUCACAUUAAUGAGUGGUGUGAGAUACAGGAGAAACCGAGUUUUUGUAUUUCUUUAUACUUAGUAUGUAAUGCUUUGGGAUUUUCUGCCUAGUCUUUAGAAAGUUUGCAGGUAUCAUAUUCUUUAAAGCCUAUUUCUGAGAAUUUUUCAUCUAAGUCUGCUAUAAAUGAAGCAGUAAACAAAUACAUCUCAGGAGCAAGGGAGAUGGAAUGCCAGCCACAGGGGAGCUUUGCUGCCUUCAUUACCUCGAAAAGUUCAAACAGAUUUGAUGAAAAGUGAAGUCUGAUGUCUAAAAUGUCUUUUACAUUGUCCUUAAGACAUCUUUUGGAAAAGGAUUCAAAAACUGCUCAUUAACAUGGUCGAGAAUUUUCUCUGUGACGUAUGAGAAUGAUGCCAUCCCCUUUGCUCUGAGCAGCGUGUGGAGGCAUCUCGCUACUUUAAAGAACAUAAUCAUCAAUUCAGCAAAUGGUCCUAAGUGUGACUGUCAGGGACAGACACUGCUCUGAGCGUUCAUGCCUGGAUUUCAUGGAGGGGAGCUGCCCUUCAGGGGAAAUCUAAUUGCAGGUCUAUCAUAUUUUUGGACUAAGACAGUAGAUAGAAGCAGCUUUAAGCUCCUCAGAGUCAUCAGGAAUUGCAUUUUAAAUUAAAAAGGACAAGAAAACAAAGCAGUCACAGAGGAUCUGGCAAGGCCAAGGUAUGCUAAUGUGACUUAUCUU
Molecule: long non-coding RNA, 762 nt
Filed under: Phasianus colchicus (ring-necked pheasant)
Lineage: Eukaryota; Metazoa; Chordata; Aves; Galliformes; Phasianidae
Description: lncRNA (ENSPCLG00000021319.1)
Source: RNAcentral